UUUUAAGCCGCUCUGUGUCUGGCUAGAUGACGCUGGCGGCUGCCUUACACAUGCAAGUCGAACGGUAGAGGGCUUCGGCCUUCUAGAGUGGCGAACGGGUGAGUAAUGCAUACGAACGUGCCCUGUAAUGGGGUAUAACGUAACGCAAGUUACGCUAAUACCGCAUACGCCCUGAGGGGGAAAGCGGGGGAUCGUGUGACCUCGCGUUCUAUUCGCGGCUGAUGGAGGAUUAGGCUGAUGGUGGGGUAAAGGCCCACCAAGGCUCCGAUCCCUAGCGGGUCUGACAGGAUGAUCCACCACAGUGGGACUGAUGACACUGAAAACUCCUACAGACUGCUGCAGUGGGGAAUUUUUGGGAAUGGGGGCCACCGUGACCAACCCUCGCCACGUGGGUGAUGAAGUCUCUUGAGACCUCUAGCCCUUUCGACGGCUAACAACCGGCAAGGGUGAGCGUGCCCGACGAAGACCCCCCAGCAAACUCCGUGCCAGUACCCGCCGUCAUACGGGGUGGUACAGCGUUGUUCAGAAUUACUGGGAAUUACGGGUGCGUAAGGGGGGCUCUGAGUCGCACGUGAAAACUCUGGGCUCCUCCCGGAUCUUGCCUCAGAUAGUGUAGUGCUCUAGUUUUCUAGGGUGCAGCAGAAUUCCUGGUAUAUCCGGGAGUUGCGUAGAUAUCAGGAGGUACCCCGAUGAACCAACGGUGGCUACAUGCACCUAAACUGGACGCUGACUGCACGAUAACUAGCGGAAGCAUACGGGAUCAGAUACGCAUGGUAGUCCUAGCUCUACACGUCGUACUGGUGUGACUGGAGUGACUCGGUCGAUCGAUCUACGAUUCUGAUCCUGCUGAUGCAGCACUGGCGAACGCGUGCAACUCGCAUGAACUCGACAUGA
Molecule: ribosomal RNA, 894 nt
Filed under: uncultured soil bacterium
Lineage: Bacteria
Description: SSU rRNA
Rfam family: Bacterial small subunit ribosomal RNA
Source: RNAcentral